CUCCUGUAGCCCAAUUUGGCAGCGGCGGUAGUCUUAGAAACUACGCGAUGGGGGUUCGAAUCCCUCCAGGAGAA
This 74-nucleotide transfer RNA is filed under the name bacterium. RNAcentral's name for it is "tRNA-Leu". It matches the Rfam family "tRNA". From Rfam's summary of the family: Transfer RNA (tRNA) molecules are approximately 80 nucleotides in length. Their secondary structure includes four short double-helical elements and three loops (D, anti-codon, and T loops). The record is from RNAcentral.